RNAcentral lists this ribosomal RNA (376 nucleotides) under uncultured organism. RNAcentral's name for it is "bacterial SSU rRNA". It matches the Rfam family "Bacterial small subunit ribosomal RNA", at positions 526 to 896 of the family's 1533-position model. The record is from RNAcentral.
CAGAGGUGGCAAGCGUUGUUCGGAAUUACUGGGCGUAAAGGGCGCGUAGGCGGCCCACUAAGUCAGACGUGAAAUCCCCCGGCUUAACCUGGGAACUGCGUCUGAUACUGGAGGGCUUGAGUAUGGGAGAGGGAGUGUAGAAUUCCAGGUGUAGCGGUGAAAUGCGUAGAUAUCUGGAGGAAUACCGGUGGCGAAGGCGGCAUCCUGGACCAUUACUGACGCUGAGGCGCGAAAGCUAAGGGGGAGCGAAACGGGAUUAGAUACCCCGGUAGUCCUAGCCCUAAACGAUGAAUGCUUGGUGUGGCGGGUAUCGAUCCCUGCCGUGCCGAAGCUAACGCAUUAAGCAUUCCGCCUGGGGAGUACGGUCGCAAGGCUG